RNAcentral lists this ribosomal RNA (790 nucleotides) under uncultured archaeon. RNAcentral's name for it is "bacterial SSU rRNA". It matches the Rfam family "Archaeal small subunit ribosomal RNA", at positions 83 to 879 of the family's 1478-position model. The record is from RNAcentral.
UCGGCUCAGUAACACGUAGCUAACCUACCCUAUAGCCCGUGAUAGCCUCGGGAAACUGAGGGUAAUAACGGAUAGGAGAUUUUUUCUGGAAUGAUUAAUCUUUGAAAUCUAGCGAUAGGAGGGGGCUGCGGCUGAUUAGGUAGUUGGCGGGGUAAUAGCCCACCAAGCCGAUGAUCAGUAAGGGCCUUUAGCGAGGAAGCCCUGAGAGGGAGUCUGAGAUACUACUCCCAGCCCUACGGGGUGCAGCAGGCGGGAAACUUCUGCAAUGUACGAAAGUAUGACAGAGCAAGCCAGAGUGCUUUUCCUUUUUGGAAAAGCUUUUGUGCGAUGUAAAAAGUCGCACGAAUAAGGACUGGGCAAGACUGGUGCCAGCCGCCGCGGUAAUCCCAGCAGUCCAAGUCGCAGCCACAGUUAUUGGGUCUAAAACAUCCGUAGCUUGCUUUUCAAGUCUUCUGUGAAAUCUGGCCUCUUAAGGGUCGGGCGCGCAGAAGAUACUGUUUAGCUAGAGACCGGGAGAUGUAAGAAGUACGUAUAGAGUAGCGGUAAAAUGCGUUGAUCCUAUAUGGACUAACGAUAGCGAAGGCAUCUUACAAUAACGGAUCUGACAGUGAGGGAUGAAGGCUAGGGGCGCAAAUUGGAUUAGAUACCCAAGUAGUCCUAGCAGUAAACACUGCACACUAAACAUUAGAACCUCUUCGAGAGGUCCUAGUGCUGAAGGGAAGCCGGAGAGUGUGCUACCUGGGAAGUAUAGUCGCAAGACCGAAACUUAAAGGAAUUGGCGGGGGAGCAC